This 450-nucleotide ribosomal RNA is filed under the name uncultured bacterium. RNAcentral describes it as "partial 16S ribosomal RNA". It matches the Rfam family "Bacterial small subunit ribosomal RNA", at positions 29 to 523 of the family's 1533-position model. The record is from RNAcentral.
AACGAACGCUGGCGGCAGGCUUAACACAUGCAAGUCGAACGAUGUAGCAAUACAUAGUGGCGCACGGGUGAGUAACGCAUGGGAAUAUACCUUAUAGUGGGGGAUGACUUUGUGAAACUAAAGCUAAUACCUCAUACGCCCGAGAGGGGAAAGAUUUCUCGAUAUAAGAUUAGCCCGCGUGAGAUUAGGUAGUGGGUGGGGUAAUGGACUACCAAGCCUACGAUCGCUAGCUGGUCUGUGAGGAUGAGCACACACACCGGAACGAGAGACACGGUGCAGACUCCUACGGGAGGCAGGAGUGGGGAAUAUUGGGCAAUGGAGUAAACGCUGACCCAGCCAGGCCGCGUGAAUGAUGAAGGCCUUAGGGUUGUAAAGUUCUUUCGCCGAUGAAGAUAAUGACGGUAGUCUGAGAAGAAGCCCCGGCUAACUUCGUGCCAGCCGCCGCCGUAA